This 12555-nucleotide long non-coding RNA is filed under the name Arabidopsis thaliana (thale cress). Its description in RNAcentral is "long non-coding RNA (ATHA_LNC000544)". Lineage: Eukaryota; Viridiplantae; Streptophyta; Magnoliopsida; Brassicales; Brassicaceae. The record is from RNAcentral.
AUGGACAUCCCCGACAGUGUUACCAUCAAGGUUCACGCUAAAGUGAUCGAAGUCGAAGGACCUCGCGGGAAGCUUGUUCGCGAUUUCAAGCAUCUCAACCUCGAUUUCCAGCUGAUCAAGGAUCCAGAGACUGGAAAGAAGAAGCUUAAGAUCGAUUCGUGGUUUGGAACACGCAAAACCAGCGCCUCCAUCAGAACCGCUCUUAGCCACGUCGAUAACUUGAUCUCCGGUGUUACCAGAGGUUUCCGUUACAAGAUGAGGUUCGUGUACGCCCAUUUUCCCAUCAACGCCUCCAUCGGCGGUGACGGAAAGUCUAUCGAGAUCCGUAACUUCCUUGGCGAGAAGAAGGUUUGUUUUAUCUUCUUCAUCUCUGAUUUGAUUCUCAUAGAUUCGUGUAGAUCUCGGAAUGAAAUAGACUGACACUAGAUUCAACUUUAUGAUUGGACGAUGAUGAUUGAUUUCUGAGUUUGCGAGCACUGAACUUACAUAGAAAUGUGUUUAUUGGAAUAAUAGGUGAGGAAGGUAGAGAUGUUGGAUGGUGUAACCAUUGUUCGAUCUGAGAAGGUGAAGGAUGAGAUUGUUCUUGACGGUAACGAUAUCGAGCUUGUUUCAAGGUCGUGCGCUCUGAUCAACCAGGUACUCCAUUCUUUAACUAGUAGAUAUCACAAUUUUGUUUUAAUGAUCUGAAGAUAUCACAAUUCUCUCAUAGUCUACUAUAUCCACAACAACUUGAAAUUAAUCUUGGGUCGAAAAGAUAGAGCCGUUGUGUAGUAUAGGAGACGUAGAUUUCUUUUGUUUUGGUUGAUGUUUGAGUUUGGGAUCACAUUUUGCAUAGUGAAAUCGAACUGAUUCAUCUAUAACUGAUUUAAUGCGCUCUGGUCAACCAAUAUUUUAUUGGUUAAAAUGUGUUUCUCAUAGUCUUGUACAAUAUCAACUAGGAAUAUUCUGAGCUAACUUGGCCGAGUUUGCAUAUUGUUGUAUGAAGGAAAGCAUAAGCGAUUGUGUUUAAAAAUGAUUCUUUGUUGACAAUUUAACUUUGUUGUCAUAUAUUUCAUAGUUGAACUGACUUGAUUCUUUAUGUUUUACUGUCUUAUGUAACUGCUAUGGUUUGCAUUAUUGUGCAGAAAUGUCACGUGAAGAAGAAGGAUAUCAGGAAGUUCCUUGACGGUAUCUAUGUUAGCGAGAAAAGCAAGAUCGUAGAGGAAGAAUGAAUACUCAUAUUCCCCUCUUAGCUCAUAUUUCUUGUGUUUGGAAUGUUGUUAGUUUUGUUUUAUGGACCAAAUCCACCGGUGAUGUAAACCUUGCCUUUUUUUUGUUCGAGAAUUUAUUAACUUAUGCAACAAGUUUUGGAGACAAUUAGAGACCCAUUCACUCUCACACUUUUGCCAAAUUACAUCUUCUCGGAUGAAUUUUGAAUUCUGAAGAAUUUGGUUGUGUUUUUGAAUUCCAGAACAUUAUAAUCCAUUGUCCUGAAUGAAAACGCCCACAAAUUUAGAGGGUGUUAUCGGUUCCUAAUUUACAAGAAAUUUUGAUGACUUUAGUUAAAUCUUUGAAAGUAAAGAAAUGAAAGAUUAUAAACGAUUGUUAGAGAGUUUUUUGAUAAUCUUGUUGAUUAGUUUUUUAUAAUUUUGUAAAGUUUUCCAAACAAUCUCUCUAUUUUAAUAAUAUUUUCCAUGACUUUCCAUGACUUCAUUUUGUAAAGAAAAGUGUAGGAAAUCAUGAACCAAUAACACAAUAAUUUAAAUCAUUAACAAUCAUUAAAAAUCAAAGAUUCUUUUGUUUUAAUUGAAUAACACAAAACUUUUAAUGAUUUAAUAAAAGUUCGUAUCUAAUAACCCAAAAUUUAUGAAGAUUUUAGAUUACUUUUUACAAAUCUUAAACGAAUAACACAAAACUUUAACAUACUUUAAAAAAGUCUUGAUUGAAUAACAACAGAUUUUACAUGACAAUUUAAAUCAUUAAAACUCUUUUGAAAUCAUAAACGAAUAACACCCUAUUAAUAUUUAGUCAAAUUAAUACUCAUACUUUUUCUAACUUAAAUUUAAUACUCAAAUACUUUUUCAAAUACUCAAAUUUAAUAUUUAACAAAACUUUUUCAUUUGUUACUCAAAUAAACUUUUAUAAUUCUAGCUGGGAAAAUUUCCAAAAAUAAACUUCAACUAUUUAAUAUUUGCCAGAAUUCUUUUUUUUUCUUUUCUCGUUGCCUAAAAUAAUCUAAUCUAGUUUACGGCCCAUAAAACAAAGGGUUAUUGAGUUUAUAGUCAUAAACUAAUUGCAUUCUCAGAUUUUCCUCAAUGGAUUAUAAAAUCAGCCAUAAACCCUAUAAAAUCAGUCAAUUUUUUUUUUCAUCCUAAAACAAACACAAACUAUUCUUUAUUUUCUAAUUUCUCUUCGUCUUCGUUAUGGCCGUUAACGACAUCGUUGACGUCGUUACUAUUUUUGAGAAAAUUUCUAACCCAAAUUAUGAAAUUUUGCUUGAAAAAAAUACCUGAAUUUCUAUUUCCUUGCCAUAAAAUAACACAUAUCAACAUUUUUUUUUCUCUUCUUUUAUUCCAUUAACAAUGUAAGAUGGUCAAAUGUCAUAACUUUAUGUGCUCUCUUGAACCUCAUACAAGUUCUCAUUACUAUUUAGGACAAUUAAAUUCAACAACAAAAAUACACAAUUAGAUUAGUCUAUUUCUAUUUUUUUCAAUACCCAAACUAAACCCAUAUCGAAAAAACCCGAUUUGGGCGAGUAAGAGUUUCAGGAAUGUACCUCAUUGGAUAGAGUUCGGGUCGGUCCGGAUCAGAGAUUGCCCAUUACACACACCGGAUAUCCAUAAACCCGAUAUAAGGUAUGUGUAUAUAUACGGUAUAGAUAUAGUUUUAUACAUUUAUAGACUAGUUUACCUUUUGCAUGCUUGAUUGAAUUACCCAUGCAUCAGUUUCCAACAAGGCUACAAUCCUACUUCUCGUUGUAGUUCUAUACUUUUUAUUUUCAGAUAGUCGGAUUUAUGUUUUCAAAUUCAUUAUCGGAUUACUCACUCUUAAUUCUAAGUAUUACACUUUGUGAUUUUGGAUUGGAUUUGGAUGUCAAGUUUGAAGUGUUUUAUUCUCUUUAUUACUCACAUUUUGGGUUUACGGUUAAUUUUUAUCCAUUCAGACCCGAACCCGAAAGAAUUCAAAAUUUUCAAGUAUUUACCGGUUCUCAGACUUAGUACCCAAUCUAACCCGAAUCCGGGUGUACCUAAUCCGAACCGGAACUGAAUAUAUGCAAUUACCCUAAGAGUAGUAAAUCCAUUACCCAUUUAACCGGAACGGGUUAUCUAUAUGCCCAUUCCUAGAUUUGAUCUUAGAUCUAUACAAGCUUUACAAAUUUUGAGAUUUCAUCGACACUGGAAUUCUAAAUUUCAUGAGAGCUUAAAAAAACUUUGUAGAUCUUCGUAGAUUCUCUAUAUAAAACGAAAAAAUUAAUUCAAUCAAGCAAAACUCACCAAAAUUGAAGCUUUAAAACCGCAACAUGAGAAUAAAGCAAAGAGAACAAAACAAAGCUGAUAUUCGAACGGGACAUAAAUAUCUGAUAUAUUUGUAAAUGUUUUGAGUUUUGUAUCCAAUUAUACCCAAAAUCUAGCAAAAGAUCUGAAAUUUAACCAUAAUCCACCAAAAAAACAUACCAGUAUUUCAGGUAUUCAGGUACUUGUUCAGGUAUGAGAUACAAUCAAGUAUGAAAUACACGAACUGAUUAGUACCCAUUUUUAGGGUAUUUAUAACUUCUAAAAGUCUAAACCUGAUUCGUCCUAAACUUGAAUGACCGAAUCAAACUGAACCAAUUUUGUAUAUUUACUCAAUUAAGUCCUAAAAUCCUCUAUCUGAUUUGAACGCGAUCGACUAGAGUACAUGAAUACAGAAUAUCCAAUCAUAUCCACCAUAAAGGAUACUAAACUCUCCGAUUUGAAUUACCCGAAUCCAAAAAAGCCGAAUAACGUGCAUUUUGUUUGUAUUUGAUUAUAUUAAUUUGCAUAUCUAUGGGCUGUUAAUGCCAAUAAUAUAUUUUGGGUGUUCUUGGGCUUGAACUUUAUUGGGCUAGGAAUGGUUGUAUAUUUAACCCUACUUCUGAUUAGUCUCUUAGUAAAGAAACUAGGGUUUUCGUCGCCGUCAUUUUUCUUGACCUAAAGAGCGAUCAAUUGAGAAGGAGAGAGAGAACAAAACUUCCGUCAUUCCAGCCUUAUAUUUUAACGGGACAUGGGCAUAUUGCAAAUAAUGUAUUUUCUCAUUUUUGGUUACUAGGCUGCGUUUUGAAAAACCCACCUGAACGAUGUUUAGGGUUUCUGUUUUUCGUUAUACUUUUUAUAAGGGCGCCGAUAAAUCGUUUUCUAGGGUUUAUUUGAUUAAAAAGAGAGCCGCCGUAAAACAUUAACGUUGUUUAGGGUUUGUAUUUCAUAUAUUUUUAAAAUGCCGUCGACAAAACCUUUUCCUAGGGUUUCUGUCUUUGAUCAAACCAAAAACAACAAAUUUGAUAAAGAUAGCAAAUCAGGAAUCAGAGAAAUUGGUGUAUGCCGGUGACCAAAGUAUUCUCAACAUACUAGAAUGAUUCAUAAAAAUACGAGGAUUUUUUUUCUUUCUUUCGGGUAUUUCUUUCAUUCCAUACAAUUCAAAGUCAAAGAUGAACACCUAAUUGUGCGUUGAAAAAAAAAGACAUAAUGUGCACAUUUUGAUCUAUAUAUAAUUAAUUAUGUAAAUUUUAUACCUCAUGUUUAUUUUUAAUCAGUUUAUUUAUAUAGACAAAAAAAUGAUUCACAAAUCACAAUGAUGGAUCUUGUUGUUAAAUUAUUUAACUACAAAUUAUAUUAAAGUAAAUUAGGAUAGUCCGAUGUGCGAGUUUUAAAGUUUUAUAAUUAAAUUCUUAAAAUAUACCGAUAAUCUUUUAGUUAGAGAAGAUAAAUAUUUAUAUAUUCUUUAUAACAAAAAAAUAUAUUUUUAUAUUUGUUUUGCUUUAACUUAUUUGCAGCUCUAUAUUUUAAUUUUAUUGUAAGAUUAUAUUACAAUAAACACUACAAGAAAACUGUCAUUUUGCGAGGGAAGAAUUACUCGCUAAUCCCUCGCAAACAGCCAUACGCGAGGGACUUGCGAGGAAAUCAAGUUCCUCGCAAAUGGUAAAAAGUUGCAAUUCCCUCGCAAUUUUUGCGAGGAACUGUUUUCCUCGCAAAACACACGCAACACAGUUCUAGUAUUUCCCUCGCAACUGUUGCGAGGGAUUUGCGAUUCUUUUCUUUCUGCCUAGCAAAUCCAUCACAAACAACUGAUUUCCUGAUAUAUUAAGGCUUGAUUAGUGGUUAAUUAGACUCUAAUUAUCUGGUUAAUUAGUUGUUGAUUAGAGAUUAUUUUUGAUUCUUAAAUAAAGACACAAGAAGAAGAAGAAGCUGAAAUUAUCAUUAUCUAAAAUGUAUUCUACAAUGCCAAUAUUUGAAACCAUGUUCUAAAAAGAUUACAAGGAAAAAAGAGAAAGACAAUGUUCUCAAAAUACUGAUGAUGGAGAGGAUCCUGUUGCAAGGUUAGCUAGGGCAGCAGCAGCAGGUGUCUCCUCAUUGGCUUGCUGUUCUGGAGUUGUAGCUACAGGUGGUUCAUUUGCGCUAACCGGUCUUGUCUGUGUCGAGGAACCUCAUCGAAGAAUGGCAGCUAAAGCUGGAUCUUUCUCAGCAAGAUAGUCAAAGAGGAUAUCAAAGUUGUUGAUCUUCUCAGCCUGAUUUUGAAUGCAAGCUUCAGCGGCAGCCAGCUUCGCAGAAAGUAUAACCGGAUCAUCACUAGGAAGUGUUGGACCACUAUGAACUGAGGAUGCUUCAAACUGCAGAGAUCCAACACCAUAAAUCCUUCCUUUCUUUCUCGGAGCAACCUGCAAAGGUCACAAAAACUCACAAGGACACAACAGAAAACAAGUGAGAAAACAAGUUCAACACAAGACAAAAGAAUUCAAACACAAUAAGCUGUCAAGAUUUCAGACAACACAAUAAGUUGUCAAUAAGAUUUCAGACAACACAAUAAGAUUUCAGACAACACAAUAAGUUGUCAAUAAGAUUUCAGACACAACUAGACAACGCUAACAGUGAUUAUCAAGUAGACAACACAACCACACUUGCAAUAGAAAGCAAUUCAAACACAACACUACACAAAGUAUAAUGAAUAAGCUGUCAAGAUUUCAGACAACACAAUAAGCUGUCAAUAAGAUUUCAGACAACACAAUCAGAUUUCAGACAACACAAUCAGAUUUCAGACACAACUAGACAACGCUAACAGUGAUUAUCAAGUAGACAACGCUAACAGUGAUUAUGAAGUAGACAACAGAAAGAGCACAUAAAAUUUACCUCAGUAAAUAUCUUGUUUUUGGCAUGAACAGAAAGUCCACCUGAUCCAGUGCUCUCCGGAUUGUCCCCUGAACCCAUAUGAGACUCUUCCUCUUCAAUCCUAGAUGUUACUUGCUUGUAGAUCUCCUCUGACUUCCCAUCGAUGAAGCUUCCAUCCGCUUUUCUGUGUGUCUCAUCUAGCAGCUCAAGGAAAUCAGGAGUUUUUUCUCCAGUCUUCUCACACUGAAACACAAAGAGAUAAACAAGAUGUCAGUAUGUAAUUCUAGAUUAAGUAAUGGUAAGGAGAGAAGAAUACUUAUCUUACUCGUUUUCUUGCACGGGCUUUGUAUGAGGUCUGGCCUGAACGGUGUUUAUAGAUGCCUUUGCCAUCCGGAUCAUGAUACCUAGCAUUUCUGCUGUUGUUACUCUUUUUUUUCUGACUUUGGAUCUUGCCAAAACAGUACAAGACCUUUCCACACAUCAGGAUCAAUCCAUUUUGGCUUAGCUUCAUCACCUUUCUCCUUCCAAUUUCCCUUCCACCGUGACACUUGAUCAGUCAUCCUAGACUUUAGCUUUGCUUCAAACUCAACCCUUACUCUUUUGUUAAUUGAACGGUCCCAGUUAUAUACUUGCUACAAAAGAGAAGCUAACAUCAGAAAUGAAACCAUACACAAAACAAGCAUAAACAUCAAAAGAGCACAGAACUUACCGCAAACGUUUCAUACCAUCGAUCGAUUGUAGCCUUUGAUGUUUGUGACCAAUUGGCAUGAGGUUCUUUGAAAUCUCUUUCAAAGAUGAUGCGGACUGUUGCUGCAACUGCAGGGUCAUCGUCAAACCUACAAGAAGACCAACCAGCCCACACAUAAGGAUUUCUAUGUCUUUAAACUUCUAAGACAUCACAAUGCUAAGUACAACCAAGCUGUUCUAUUUGUUGAAACUUCUAAGGCACUACAACCUAAGGCACUACAACCUAAUUCCAUUACGCUCCAAGGCACUACAAAGUUCUAAGGCACUACAACCUAAGCUGUUCUAGGACAAUGAAUUUAACCUUACCAGAGAGUUCCCGGAGGACGCUUUGGGUCUAGCCUUGUCAAGCCAGCACGACCAGGACUAUCAAGAAGCUCCUCCAGUGUGAGAUUGUUGAGACGCUCAGCUUGAGAAUCACAAUCAUUGACAGAAGGCUGAGUGGUUGGCGUUGGAGGCGAUGGUGGAUGGCGUGAACCUUGAACCCCUGAAAUAUUCCCAGCACUGACAGGAGAAUUGACAUGCAACGAGUCUCCCUGCUGUGACCUAUAUCGUGCAUAAGUAUUCUCCGACGACGACAUCUUGCAAAACAAACAAAACCCAGAAGCGAUGAAGAAGAAGUUAGAUCGGAGAGAAGCAGAAGCAGAAGCAGAAGCAGAACAAAUGAUUGACAGAGUUUAGAUCCGUAAACUAGAACAGAUUAGAUCUGGAAAACAAUGUCAGAUCGGAGAUGAAGAAGAAGUUAGAUCGGAGUGAAGCAGUUAGAUCGGAGAAGAAGACGUUACCUUGGAGGCAAAAGAGAUCGAGUCGCGACUUGUGCUGGAGAAGAAGAGUCGCGACGGCUGCUGGAGAAGAAGAGUCGCAACGGCUGCUGGAGAAGAAGAGUCGCGACGACUGCAGGAGAAGACGAGACGCGACGGAGAAGAAGAAGAAGUUAGAUCGGACGGUGGAAGUUGGAAUGGAAAGAAGAAGUUAUAUCGGAGAAGAAGAGGUUACCUUGGAGAAGAAACAGAUCGACUCGCAGCUGAACCUGGAGAAGAAGAGUUGCGGCGGCUGCUGGAGAAUAAGAGGCGGCGACGUAAUCAGAUCGAAGAAGAAGAGAGGCGACGGCGAAGAAAAUAGAUCGGAGAAGAAGAGAAGCCGGCGACGAGGAAAACAGAUCGGAGAAGAAGAGAAUCGAAGAAAAAAAAUUAGGUUUAGUAUAUAUAAGCAUAUAUAUCCUCGCAAAUCCCUCGCAAACCUUGCUAGGAAAUUGCGAGGAACCGUCUUUUAAACCAAUCAAAAUGCAGCUUACAUUGCGAGGGAACUGCGAGAGCGCCUAGCAAAUCCCUCGCAGACCUUGCUAGGAAAUUGCGAGGAAUCGUAUUUUAAACCAAUCAAAAUUCAAUAAUUAUAUUUGAUUCAGUCUCUCCUAUUUCUAGUAAGACCCUCAGCAAAAUAAGAACAUGACUAAAAAUUCUAAAUAUUUUAGGGUUUAGUGUAAAUAUUGCGAGGGAACUGCUACGCGUACUAGCAAACACCUCGCAAUUUCCUCGCAAUGUAUAAUCAAUUUUGAAAAAUACAACAAUCACUAUUCAAAAUCAUUUGGAUUCAUUUUUUUUAAUCAUUAGAACGUUAAUUAUCUACAUUUGAACCUAUUUUAUCAUCAUAUAAUUCGAAUGUGUUUUUUCCCCAAAUACAUCAAUGAUGAUCUUAUGGUUUUCAUUAAGUAUGAAUCAUGAAUGUUUAACAUUUUCAAAAUGAAAUGUUGAUAUUGAAACCAAUACAAUAUUUUUUUGUUCAAACCAUAUAAUCAACUUGAAUGAUUAUAUGGUCACUUAGAUUCAUAUCUAUAAAUGAGAAUCGAAGAUUGCAAUACACUUUUAUGUAUUUUAGGGUUUAGGGUAAAGAUUUGCGACGUAUCUGCUUGGGAUUUGCGACGGAUAAUAUCUUUCUUGCGAAACCAUCGUACUUCCAUCGCAAAUUUGCGAGGAAGUCUUCCCUCGCAAGUUUUGCGACGGAAUUGCUACUCGCGUGCGGUACGUAGCAAGUUUCUCGCAAUAUCCUCGCAAUAAUUGCGAGGAAUGCCUUCCCUCGCAAACCUUCCUCGCAAAUUGACUGUUUUCUUGUAGUGAAACUAGUACAUUUAAAUUACUAAUCUUUAAAACUUUUUGCCAUAUAUAUUCAUCAUUAAUUUAUUGCCUAAUCUCAAAAAAUAGUUUCGCAGUCUCGCCUAAAAUAUGAAUCAACCACUUCUUGAGAAAAUGUUUUACCUGUAGACCACCAGUCAGGUUAUUUUAAUCUAUUUACAAAUCUACUAUCUACGUUACAACUAAAAAACGUAUCUAUGAGUACAUUAAGCCUAUCAGUUUCAAUCCAAUCAUAUUUUACUACUGAAAUAUGUUCUAUGAACACCUACAAAAUGUAUAUAUGAACACAUUAAGCCAAUUAUAUUCUUAUUUUGUUUAUGUCCAACUAUAUGUCUCUUCAUUUACACUUUUGCAUAGUUUCUUCAACCACUAAAUGUUUUGACUCAACAAAUAUUUUGAACAAAAAAAUAUAUCAUAUAGCAAUAAUUGAUGAUGUAUUUACAAGAAAACUAAAUUAAGUAAAAAAACUACUUGAUUAGAAUGCGUUUAUGACCAACCAAUAAACUAAAGGUUGAGAAAUUAAAAGAAAUUAAUUUGACGUAACUAAAAAAAUAAUAUAAAUGAGUCUUAGAUAAUUCAAAGAUAGAAAUAUAAAUGAAAGUAACAAUCUAAAAUACGACCACUAAAUUAAAAGUAAAUAGACAAAGAAAAAUCAUAUAUCGAUCUUACCAUAUACAAAUUACAAAUUUGUUUCAAAUCAACACAUAUUUCUAAUUAAAAAAAAACAAAUUGAAAUAUAUAAUGUAAAAUUUUACAUUAAAUCAUGACACAUGUAGUAGUCUAAUUUUUUUAGUACAAUGAUAUAUGAUAAUUAAGUUUUAUAUAAUUCAAAUACAAAAAAUCAAUACAAAUAAUCUUGAAAACAAAAAUUAAAUUAUAAAUUUUAGGAAGACGAUGAUUUAUAAAUCUUUAAUAAUUCAAUGCAUGCCACGAUAAUGUGAUAACUUUGUAGCUGUGUAUAAGCACACCUAGAGAUGGAGAUAACACCUAGAGAUGGAGAUAGAGAGAGAGAAAGCUUCAGGAGGAGAUGAAGAAGAUGAGAGGAGGUGCAGAUUUGGGGAUGUUUUUUUCUUUUUUUUUCGGUCCAAUUUUUUUUUUUCUGGAUGGAUUGAUCAACUUUACAAAAUCUCUGGCAAAUAUUUGGUAGAUUUUUAUUUUAUUUUCAUUGCUUUAACUUAUGAAUAAAUCUAUAUUUUGAAAAAUAAAAAGCUUGUGUACUUCUCGAAUGUUUAUGGUCUUAAUAUUGCUGCUUGCUUCGUUUUGGUCGCAUGAUUUUAAAUUUACUAGGUUAUAAAUCCACGCGUAAUUUUUUUAUCAAAAUUGAUUCUUAACUCUAUUGAUUUUUAUAAUUUUUAAUAUGGUAUAUUUAAAAUAAAAUGUUUACUUUAUUAGAAAUUUUAAUACUAUAAUCAAUAAUAUAUACUUUUCACCAAAUUAUAUUACGCGUGGGUUCAAAACCAAGUGUUAAUUACUUUGAAAAGCAAAUUUUAUAUAAUAAAAUUUUAAAGUAUGAUAUACUCAUAACUUGAUUUUUUUUUUUUUGCCGGCUACUCAUAACUUGAUUUGGUGCUAUUUAUGACAAUUUCUCUAAUUUAUUCGACUUUUGUUAUUUUGUUCUUUAAAGCAAUGAUAAAUUAUUAUUUGGUCUGGCCCGGAACGGACUGCUUUCAAAUGGACCGGGCCGCCAGCCCACAUACUAACUCAUUUAGAUAUAAGUUUCUUCUAACCUCUCUUUCUCUAAAAAGCUGUCGGCGAGUGGGAGAAGCGCAGAGAGAGCAAACAAAGAGCAAACUUGAAUUAUUUCUCCGUUGGCUUUGUUUGAAAAUAUAUAAAAAAAACAAUUAACGGGCCAUGAGCUUGUUGCAAAUAAUCUAUUUAUUUUUCAUUUUAGGAUUUUUGUUUCUCGACACGAGUUGAGCUGAUUUUGAUAAGCCCACAUGACAUUGUUUUAGAGUUUCUGUUUUUCUUCUUUAUACUUUUUAAAAUGCGGCCAGUGAAUAAUUUUCUAAGGUUUAUGCUUUAAUACAAGUUAAAUAAUUUUUUUGUAAAUAAUUUUUUGUUGGAAUGUCAAAUUUAUUCAACAAAAGAAAAUGAUUACAAAGAGUUUUGAAAGGUAAAAAAUGGAGAAAAUAAACGUGAAAAGUAGAAACAAAAAUGAUGAAAUUGGCGCCACUUACAUCAUUAUAGAAAGUUCAAAAGGCCUAAUUCUGACACAAUAUUAUUAACGGGUCAUGGGCUUAAUGACAAUAAUAAACUUUUCUCACUUUUGAGUUUUAAUAAGCCCACAUUUGCUUUAGGGUUUCUGCGUCUCUAUCUUUAAAUUGCUUCCGACGAUUCAUAAACUAGGGUUUCUGCCUUUAGCCGUCGUGAGAGAGAGAGCAAAUCGAAGAGAGAGCAAAGAGAAAAUAAUAUGUUGUUUGCGUUUGGUACGGUGACUCGAUCUGUGGCUAAUUCAGUGGUGGUUUGCUACGGCUUUCUUUCGACAAUGGUGUUUUCUUUCGACCUAAACUUGAUAGACCGAACCAAACUGAACCAAUUUUUAUAUAUAUUUACUCAAUUAAAUCCUAAACUCCUCUAUUUGAUCUGAACCCGAUCAACCCGAAUACAUAAAUAUCUAAUCUUAUCCAUCUGAAAGGAUACUAAACUCUCUAAUUCGAAUUACCCGAAUCCAGAAAAAGCCGAAUAGCAUGCAUUCUAUUGGUACUUGAUUAUAUUAAUUGGCAUAUAUAUGACCUGUUAUUGCCAAUAAUAUAUUUUGGGUGUUUCCUGGGCUUCAGUUUUAUUGGGCUAGGAAUGGGUGUACUUUUAAACCCACUUCUGAUUAGUCUCUUAGUAAAACCCACUUUUAAACCCACUUCUGACCCACUUCUGACGCCGUCAUUUUUCUUGAGAAGGAGAGAGAGCACCACUUCCGUCAUUCCAGCCCAAUAUUUUUAACGGGCCAUGGGCUUAUUGUAAAUAAUGUAUUUUUCUCAUUUUUGGUUUUCUUUAUGGGCACGAUUUUAGUGGGCUGAAUUUUGAUAAAGGCCCACAUAUGAAAGAUAUUUAGGGUUUUUUCUCUUGAUACCUUUUAAAACGCCGUCGAGAAAUCUCCCUCUAGGGUUUCUUUGAUCAAACCAGAGAGCCGUCAGGGAGAGCAAAACAAAGAUCGGAGAAGAUGAAGACGAUUCUUUCUUCCGAAACGAUGGACAUCCCCGACAGUGUUACCAUCAAGGUUCACGCUAAAGUGAUCGAAGUCGAAGGACCUCGCGGGAAGCUUGUUCGCGAUUUCAAGCAUCUCAACCUCGAUUUCCAGCUGAUCAAGGAUCCAGAGACUGGAAAGAAGAAGCUUAAGAUCGAUUCGUGGUUUGGAACACGCAAAACCA